AGUAUUGUCCUGCUCUUUGCUCUAAGGGACAAGAUGAAAUCUACAUUGGGGUAAAGGUAGUGGAAUGAUGUAUCUUUGCUAAGAUGAACCCAAUCAGAAAAAUAAGAGUUUUGUUUGUUCAUUAACCAGUGGAUAGUUCACCUUUUUUACUGAUUAUAAGGUAGGCUCAGUUUGUGAGAGAAAAUUUAGUUGUGCCCUUUAGUAAACACAUAUAAGCAUGUAAACAUAAAUAAGCAUAUCUUUGGCGCUGUUCUGUAUGGAGCCUGCUUUUCCUAAGUGGCAUACUUCAUCUGAUACUCAUCGUUACAGGCACUGAAGGCCUAAGGAGAUGAGGUCACAGAGGCUGCAAGUCCUGACUGUCCCACUAUGAUAGAAGGUGGAGUGGGGCUACCCCUUUCUCCAGGAGGACCUCUGAAGUCUGCAGAAGGCUGAUGUCCUGAGGUAUUAGAUCCUCACCACCCACCAACUUGGAAUCUGGUCGGAGCAAGAAAAGAUAACUUCUUGGAAGGCAUGUUAAGGGGCUUAGAAUUUCAAUAACAAAGUGAAUCCCUCCUUCCCAGUAAACAGCACUGGGCCAAGUAUUUAUGAAUCUUGCCAUCUCAGCCAAGUGCCCCUGCCAGCUUUCGGGUGAUGGAGACCGAGGAGGCAACAUGCUGGAAGUCACUGGAAAGAGAGGUGGCUGCAAGCAGAGAUUUCCACUUCUUCUUGUGGACACAGAGUCAAUUUACAUGUCAGCGACAUCAGGAGACACCUGCUGAGACCCGAGUUCCCUGGCACAUACUGAUUUAUUGAAGUGAUUUGUUUGCAU
This is a long non-coding RNA of Carlito syrichta (Philippine tarsier), 808 nucleotides long. RefSeq lists it as uncharacterized. Lineage: Eukaryota; Metazoa; Chordata; Mammalia; Primates; Tarsiidae. The record is from RefSeq and is a predicted model, not a curated record. The transcript is spliced from 3 exons.